UGGCGGACGGGUGGAGUAAUGUCUGGGAAACGUGCCUGAUGGAGGGGGAGUAACUACUGGAAACGGUAGCUAAUACCGCAUAACGUCGCAAGACCAAAGAGGGGGACCUUCGGGCCUCUUGCCAUCGGAUGUGCCCAGAUGGGAUUAGCUAGUAGGUGGGGUAACGGCUCACCUAGGCGACGAUCCCUAGCUGGUCUGAGAGGACGACCAGCCACACUGGAACUGAGACACGGUCCAGACUCCUACGGGAGGCAGCAUG
RNAcentral lists this ribosomal RNA (259 nucleotides) under uncultured bacterium. RNAcentral describes it as "partial 16S ribosomal RNA". It matches the Rfam family "Bacterial small subunit ribosomal RNA", at positions 96 to 353 of the family's 1533-position model. The record is from RNAcentral.